RNAcentral lists this unclassified non-coding RNA (336 nucleotides) under soil metagenome. RNAcentral's name for it is "partial contains 5.8S ribosomal RNA, internal transcribed spacer 2, and large subunit ribosomal RNA". The stretch from base 1 to 120 matches the Rfam family "5.8S ribosomal RNA", at positions 35 to 154 of the family's 154-position model. The record is from RNAcentral.
GAUGAAGAACGUAGCGAAAUGCGAUAAGUAAUGUGAAUUGCAGAAUUCAGUGAAUCAUCGAAUCUUUGAACGCACAUUGCGCCCGCCAGUAUUCUGGCGGGCAUGCCUGUUCGAGCGUCAUUUCAACCAUCAAGCCCCAGGCUUGUGUUGGGGACCUGCGGCUGCCGCAGGCCCUGAAAACCAGUGGCGGGCUCGCUGUCACACCGGGCGUAGUAGAUUUUAUCUCGCUCAGGGCGUGCUGCGGGUUCCGGCCGUUUAAAAGCCUUUUUUACCCAAGGUUGACCUCGGAUCAGGUAGGAAGACCCGCUGAACUUAAGCAUAUCAAUAAGCGGAGGA